AUCUGUAUCGACAACCAGGGGGCACUAAAGUAGUCAGGUUUGACAUUUAACAACAGUGACUCAUAUUGUUGACAUCUCAACGUCAUUUAGAACGAAACAAAUGUUUUUAAGAGCGAAAAACAAAAGUUUAGAAGAACCAAAAAUAAAUUAUCGAAGGUUCCAGGAUGUUUACCAUCUAAGCAGAAAUUCUACGAAUUCUACAGGAUGCGUCGCGAGACGGUCGCAGAGCGGAAGUGGAACACCUUCCGACCGAUAUACGCAACAACGUCGAUGUGGGUGGCGAUGAGGAUGUAGGUUGGGAUACAGACGAUGCUACGGGGAGUAGGCAAUAGCAUGGGGAUAGGCCGUAAUUGGUAUAAAAUCAUCGAGCAAACACAUCGGACAAGACAGCCUGAGGGUUGUGGGCGGCGUUACGUGCCGUCGCCUUGGUAACCGUGGGGCGAUUCUGCUAAAGCACCCCUUCGCCUUGAUUGCGCACAGGCCCAACCGCCCCCGUGUACGUACGCUCUGCUAUCUAUCUAUGUGUGCGUGUGUUUCGCGCGUAUACUGCGUGUUUCUAUAUGUAUACGAGUAUCCGCGAAAGCGCCAUCUGGUCUUAGCUACAUGCCAGAUUUACAAGGCGCGCUCACGGUCCGUUUUUCCUUGUAUGCGUUACACGCAUCUCCUGUCGACUAUGCGUGCAUGGAAACUAUCCUUAACCGGUGGCAUACUACCACAGAGAUCAGCUACCAUACUUUGGGAAAUAUUUCAGUCUGCGCGAGUUUGUCCUAAGGUAUCGUCGAGAACCUGUCGGAUUCCAUAAUGGCCGCUAUAACAAAAUUUAGAUUAUAGUUUCGUUUCUAGAAGGAUCUAUAAUAACGUAGUAUGCAGCUUUUCGCUGAGUUAAAUCGAUGUAGAAUUUAUUUUCGAAAUAAUUUCUUGAAUUGAACUAUAUCUUUAUGGUCUUUGUUUAGGGCGGAGAUUGAAAUAAAGAUUAUAGCGGAGUAUACUGCUAAAGCUCCCCCCCUUAAUAAUAAGGGAAUAUCACACCCUCUGUAUUUCGAUAUACCUAUAUAAGUGCUUUCAUCGGAACACGCAACUUGUCGAGUGUUUAGUUUAACCGCACCCCGUGGAUCCGCGUUUAUGCUCCUAAUCGGACUGGAUUAUGGUCAGUUUCGUCGUGUCGCUCGUAAACCAUGUCACGAGACAUAUGUUAUUCUUCGUGCAUUCGAUCGCCACGUGCAAUAUUUUCUUUCGUUUUCCAGCGAAACAUAACAAGACUCGUUGCACGUGUCGUUGAAAACGUAAUCCGUUCGAAAUCUGUCUUCAAUGUCUGUAUAAUCGAUCAUUGAAUCUUCAAUUUCCAUCUGUUUCGCACGAACCUAGAUUUUUAUUCUCUGUCCAAUUAAAUACGUAAUCUUCUUAUCCCACCAUCUUGUCAGAUAUCUUGACUUUGUACUACAUAAAAAAAAAGAAAAAAAGAAAAGAAAAAACAAAACGAAUAUUCUUCGCAUCGCGUGUCACCUAUUUAAAAAAUCCUAUAAAUUAUCUCAAGUAGAUCCAUUAAUCUUUCUAUCGUUGCAAAAACGAUUAGCUACAAAAAAACCGCUCCCUUCGUUCGAGAUAAUCCUGCAAAGAUUUGAUCGAUCUACUUAAAUUACCAUCAUUUUAUUCAUUGUUACGUUUCAAACGUUCCCGACACGUCGAAUAAGGAAGUCCGAUUUUCACGAUCAUGUAGCCGAUGUCGAUCACACGUCUCUCGAUUCUCGUCAAAUUAAGGCGCCUUCGACCUUCCUUUCUCUGGUCGUCGGCUUAAUCGCGGUCAGCGUCGGGACGUCGCUGUCGGGAAUGGGUCGCGUCCGCGACGGGUGAUCGCGCAAUUUCACAGGAUCGUGACUGCGUCAGAUUCGCUGGCCGAAGAAUUUAACGAGGCGCACGCGGCUCGCCCUCCUUCGGUGCGAUCGUCGUUCCAAUCGCACACGUUCGAUAAUAGCGGCCCUUGUAAACGCGAACACCCUUAAUCAUUGUGUCCUUGUUACACCAAUCUCACGGCUGAUGUAUAUUCAUGGACCUGUCCACGCAUGUCGAACCAGAAUCGUGUAAAUGCCACCGAUCGCUCACCCGAUCUGCUCGAACACCCGAUACGAUCAUUUUCAUGGAAGGGUGGAUUUCGUGUAACGUACGAUGACGUGCAGGUUGUUGAUUGAUAUCUGGGAAGCAAUCACUUGGUUACGAGAUACAUCGAUGUUUCUAAGUAUCGCGAUACCUACUCGUUACAUUCGUUGGAAAAGACUAACAAGUUUUACUUUGGUUAAUCCUGUUGUUCUUUUUGGAUCUACGAUCCAUGUGACAUGAAAUGGAUGUUACGUUUCGAUCGAUACGUAGAUUCGUAACAAAAGUAAUUAGUAUUUAAGAACGGAGAAAAGUAUUCAAUUUAUAUCAAAUAUCAGCAGUUGUUCCAAUAUGUGUAGAUUUAGAGUUAUCGAAAGUGGCGUAAAUCGACAGUCUGAGGUUUCGUCAUUGGAUUCUUCCAAGUUAAUUGUAAUUUUAUUAGAAACGUAAUAUUUUUAGUUGAUUAAUUGUUUGAUUUGUUGAUGCUUCCUUCGGACGAGGAUAAAUUUCUCGAUAUUUUGCUUAAAAUUUUUUAUAUCCACGGUCCUUACAGAAUUGAAGUUUCGAAUACGCUUCAAAAGAGAUUUCUUAAUUUCUCCGGUUCUCACAGUGCCAAGUCGACUUUCGAAUCGCACGAACACAGUGUGAUUCUGU
Bombus impatiens (common eastern bumble bee) is the source of this 2745-nucleotide long non-coding RNA. RefSeq lists it as uncharacterized. The transcript is spliced from 2 exons. NCBI's taxonomy places the organism in Eukaryota, Metazoa, Arthropoda, Insecta, Hymenoptera, Apidae. The record is from RefSeq and is a predicted model, not a curated record.